AGGAGCACCAUGGGAGAGAAUUUGAACGCUCUUGGCAGUUGGGAUUCAGACCUUGACAGUUGUAACUGAUAGACAGGGCUGGGGCAAUGCUGAUGAAAGGCAAAUUCCUGAGAGAAAAAUCACCCAAACUUUCUAGAAGUUGUUAUGAGUGGACCUGACUACCUAGAGAGAGUAAUACAGAAGCUCCAUGCCGAUCACAGCUACCUCAUUACCAAGUUCCUCCAAGAUGGCCGCCCCUGAGGAGAAUCAUCAACUGGGCUUUACGGAAGAGAGAAAUCCAAACGACCAUCAGCAACAAAUGAAAGACUGAAGUUGAAAGGAAAUCCAUAAUUUUUGAAUGCUGGCCGAGGUCUGUGACCUCUGACUGAAUGGUUUCCAAGCUCUGAAUUCCUAGGUAUAACACUUGCUGAAGAAAGGAAAAGCUCUCUGAUUUAGGUGUAAGCAAAACAAUCUAAACAGUAGGAUAAAAUCGUGUUGGAGUGGAGUUCUGUGUGAGCGCUGUCUUUGAACCAAAUCAGUUCCACAACUGACCCUGUCAGGGACAUAUAAAUUUAGCAUUUCGGUGUGGAUACAGAAGACGAGAUUAACACAGAUCAAGUAACAUGGAAAUAAAAAAGGAGACAAUGCUGGAUGAUACGGGGGCAGCCAACAAGAAGAGAAAACCCAAGCAUUGGCAAACCCCUCAUUAUCCAAAGAACACUGAGGUGUGGAGCAAAACUGUGUUGAAGGAACUGUAGAUGGAAAUUCUCUCCUUCCCACCGAGGAGCCGCUGCAGGUUGCAGACUCCCAGAAUGCCACACUGAGAAGAGGAGGGCUGAAAUUCUAGAGCAGAAUCCCUGGGGCAGCCCCUGCUGAAGGAGGGUGCAUCUGUUGAAAAUCUCACCGCCGCCCCCACCCCGCCCAGCCUUCAAUUUAGAGGAAUUUCUAGUUCAUGCAGAAUGAAGACAAGAUCACAUAAGUGAGGAUGACGCCCUAUUUACAAGUGUGGUUUGGAAGACUGAAGUGGAAACCUUGGGAAAGGGCCUCAGAGUAUGUCAGCUGGGGUCAGACGGGAACAGGAGGCUGGCUCAACACACAUUUAUUGCACUCCUGCUUCAUGCCAAGAAAUGCACCAAAAUCUGGAAUUGUGUAACACAGCAAAGGAAAAGACUCAUCUCCAGGAAGCCCCCUUGUCUAGGAAGAGAAAUUGAAUAUCAGCAUAAGGUGGUGAAAAGCUGUGAAGGAGAUGAGUGCCACAAGUCCAUGGAGGAAGGAUUCUAGCCUGGACAGGUGAGGAAUGGCUUUCUGGAAGAAGCAGAUGCCCCAGCUGAACUUUAAAGUGCCCAUGUGAAAUGAACUGUCUGUAUCUUCAAUCAGCAAAUGGAAUAGGUGGCCACUGUUUAAUUCUGGAAUGGGGAAGUGUAAAGGUGUGGUGUGUGUGUUUACCCCUACUUAGGGAUUCAAAACAGACAGUAAAGAACAAAAGUCUAGCCCUUUGAGCAUUCUCCAUGGGACAUUUGAGGUCUAGCUGGCCCCAGAGAAAGGGAGACAGAGGAAAGGUCAUAUCCAUUUGAGAAAAUCAAAGUGUCUGCUCCAAUUGAGUCUGGUGUCCUUAUUCCUGGAAUAGCCAUCCCUACUGCUCUGGUGCUGAUUUACCUCCGGCAGUUCAGUGCUUCCUGGAAGGUGAUAGUGGUGAAUAGUCAUGAGAAUCCGGGAACUGGCUCCUGCUCUGUCUAUCUUGGAGAUGCAUCUUUUGUGAGAGGCCAGGGCAAGAAUAGGGAGGCUUAGGCAAUGGGGAGUUUCUGAGUAGAUAAAGCAGAUGGCAGAGCAAAGGGAUAGAGCCUGGAGAGAGGCUACUUCCUGUAGCAACCUGCUUAAGAGUGAGAGGAAAGCAAGGCAUGGCUAUGAGCACGUGUAGUCUCAGCUACUUGGGAAGCUGAGGCUGGGGGAUCACUUGAGCCCAGGAGUUCAAGACCAGCCUAGGCAACAUGGUGAGACCAUGUUUCUUUAAAAAAAAAAAAAGAGAGAGAGAGAGAAAAGGUGACAAUUCCUCCAAUACACAUCAAAUACAUAAGAGCUAACAAGGACACAGUGGCAGAAAAUAGUCAGAGUUGAGCAAGCAUCAGUGAGGAAAUGCUUUCCAGAGGAGACUUGAGAAGUCUCAAAAAUGAAAAGAAAGAGUAUUGGUGUAGAAAGAAUGGCUUGAGAUGUGAAAGCUCAUUCAUCCAUUUAUUCCAGGUAUAUCUUUUUCUUCAGUACUUUGGGAGGCAAUAGGUGUAACAGCAAGAACAUUCAGGUUAGUGUGAGUCUGCCGUAUGUAUGAGGGUUGAAUUCACAUUAGGUGUGGUGACUAUCAUAUGGGAGGCGCUGCAAGGUGAAGGAGACAUGUCCUCACAUUUGGUCUUUGGGAAGCUAAGCAGGCAGAAACCUAAGUGCAAAGUGGCCAGUGUUUUCCUAAUGCUAGAUAAGUACAUGAUGUGUUGGAAGGGUGGAGUAGAACUAGAAACUCCUGGAAUUUCUUUUAAGAACGAAUGCAGGACCUCAUUAGCCUGAGUCUUUAAGUAAGUCACACAUUUUUGGUCACUGCAUUCUGGAAGGGGGACAAAAAGAUCUGUCACAGACAAAAUCUGGAGAUAUUUAAGGCUUUGUUGACUUUGGCAAAUGCUUGGUUAUAGUUCUGUGGUCUGUUUGUUAUCUAGAGUCUCCAUGAAUUGCAAGGGAAAACAAUGGUACACUGGCAUUUCUAUUUGAUAACCCGUUCUCUUUGGAAUUCUGGUUAGAAAUCAAAGGCUUACUUGAGUUUUAAUGCUUUCAGGACUUGAAAUACUUUUCUAUCUUCCUAAUAAUAUAUUAACAUUUUCUGAGGACAACAUAUAUCUGGAAAACAACAUUAUUUACUCAAAUAAUUUUUUUUGAAAAAUGGACCAAAAAAAAAGAAAAACCGACAAAAACCUUUUCAUGUUGUAUCUCAGACUAGCCCAGGUUGUGUUCCAAAAUUUUUUUGCUGAAUGGUCGUUUCUGCAAUUGAAAGGCCCAUGAUUUUUUUUUCACAGCACCAUUUUGCUUUUCAAAAUUUCUACUGUGUGCCAGGUAUGGUUUUGGCAUUGCAUCCUUGCAGGAGCACUGCAAGGGAAUGAUUGUGCUAUUAUCUUCAUUUUACAGAUGAAGAAAAUGAAAGCAACAAAAAGUUUCAUAUCUUACCUAAGGUCUUCUUGUUCUGAUAAGUGAUCAAGCUGGUAUUUGAACUUGGGUGCCUCAACAUGAAGGUCAAGCAUCUCAUUUUACAGAUGAGCCAACUGAAGUCCCAAGAUCACUCACCUCAUUGGUUACAGAUCUUGGAGCCCAGGGACUCUUAAUCCAGGACCAGUAUGCUUUGCAUGACAUGCAGGAUGUAUCUGAGACACAAACUGUGCUUUGUUCUCUUUCCUCACUAAUGAAUCCUGCAUACAUUCUCCCUACCCUCUUCCCCCAUGAAUCCAUGUUUGUGGUUUCCCAGGAGCUACAGAUGAUGGUCCCAGACUCUGUCCAUCCUGAUCUUUGGCAUGGACCCCUAAAUCCAGCCAAAUGCGGCACCCACAGUCUCUUGCAUGAACAAGAUAUGGGCUUUUCUGUCUCUGUCAUUAUUCACCAUUUACUGUGGUUGGCAUGCCGUCUUCCUGCCAGCUCCACAGUUCGAGGUGCCGCUAUUCUUUCAGAUGCAUCACACAUGUUACUUCUUUUAUGAAACUUGCAGAGUCUCAGAGUUGCAUGAGAUUUGUCACUCUUGUUGAGAGAAAGAGGACAGAGUGGAGAAGAAAAGGGAAGGGAGAAAAUGGGUGGAAUUCAUGGCCCUAGAUAUGAAGCUUGGAGAUGACUGAAGUAAUAGAUGACUCCAAGGAUAAUCAAUAGCCAUGAGAGUUAUGGCUUAUUGAAUGCUUACUAUUUCUUGGGAGAGUGCAAUGUUAUCAUCUCCUUAAAUUCUCACUGCAAGUCGUCAGGUUUCUGCAGCUGGUAUUUAAGCCCAAUUCUGCCUGAAGUCAAAACUUGUGUUCUCUUUCACUGUUGUCUCCUAAGACAAUUGGUUGUGAGGUAGAAAAAGAACUGGAUAAUUCUCAAAAUGGAAAAUUAAAAAGAUGAAACAAAAUUGGGGUCAUGGAUUGAGACAAUACAGUGAGAGACACUGGAAUUGGAAGAAAUGAGGCAUGAGGCCAGAGUGGAGCUCCCUUAGGACACCGCUUUUGGCUUCUGGAGCCUUUAUUACAAUGAGGCAGCUCAGGACUUACAGUGUUCAUCUGAGUGCCAGGAAUCAUACUGUCAUGGUGCUUCUCAUGGGUUUUGCAUCUUGCUUUGUGUUAUAGGGCUUUGGGUUCACAAGCUCUCUGAAGGAGCUGAUUGUGAAGGCAAGGACUGUGUCUAUGCCUUUUUUAAGGAGACACAUAUUUUGUCUUAAUCAAGUGGACACAUGAGAGGCACAGAGAGGGGUACACCUCAGUCUACCCAAGGAUAUGGAGUGGGGGCUUCAUGGAGACCUGAGGGGCCCAGGCACAGAAAAGAGACAAAGUGAGGGAACACUUGAGGGAGAUGGCGGGGCACAUGCUUAGGAAGGAAAGCUUGGAAAGGCAUAGGCAGAAUGUUUAAGGAUGUGCCCAGUGUGUAAUCUAGAGAAAGCAGUCAGAGGAAAUGAGACGGGAGAGGCAGCUCGAGGCAGGGUAUAGAUGUGAAAGUCACUCGCACCCCCUCUCAUCAUAUGACUCCAGGCAGUCCUCCAACCCACCCACUCGAGCUCCCUGCCUUCUGACAGGUUUCCUUAUUUCUGAGCGUCUUGUAACAGGCCCAGGAUAUCCUUCCUUGCUCAUGUAAAGAAUUCCACUCAUCUUUCAAGGCAUUUUAAACAGAAGUCCUGUGAGGCCUGCCUUGAGACACUCACACUCAAUUUACUUUCUUCAGAAGUGUCUUUUCUACUUCUCUGUUCUAGCACAGCCACAGUGUUUCAUCUGUUUUCCCUACUAUUGUGAGGGCUUCUUCCACAAGAAGAAUUUUGUCUUCUCUUUGCACCCCCAAUGCCAGCACAUAGUAAGCACUCAGCACAUUUGAUAAUGGAAUGGCUCUGGUUUUACAUUCCUGUAUUUUUCAGGCAGAUAGUGAGUAGUCAGCGAGGACUCAUGCAUGACUCUGGGAAAAGUAGAGGGUAAUUUUUUUAUUUGCUUUUCGAGGGCUGAUCAGGGCUACUUAUUUUUAUGGCAGGCCAGCAUCCUGCUCACCCUGACUCCCUCCAGCUUCUGGUACCUGCGUAUCCAGGCUAUGUUAAUUUCACUGCAUUUUUCUUCUUUGUCACUUUUUCUUUUUCUUCUUCAAAGAGCGUAGCAAUCUCUCAGGAGUUUGAUUAUAUUGCAAGAUGAAUAGGAUAUUUGAAUUAUGCUAUUUAAAUGAGUCAUCUCAACCCUAGUGUAAUUGUUCACCCCCUGUCACACUAAACGUGACCUACAUUUUUAAAAGAGUGCUUUUGGCCUGAAUAGAGGACUGCUGAAAUUGUUGGGUUCCAGUUCUCAGCAAUUUAUCAUUUGUUAUCACAGAGUGUGUCUUUUGUUUCACAUCUGGGCAGAUGUGAACUUUUAAAACUGUCUCUCACUAGAGCUAUCAAAAGAAGCUGCUUUUAUUUGCAAAAAGAAGGUGAACUGAUUUCCUGGGUGUUUAUGUGUGUGUGGUAUGUGGAGGGGCACAGAGGAGCAGCAGGGUUCAUUAAACAGAAGAUGUCUGGUCUUGGCUAAGCAGUUUAAAAACAUAUAGGAGUACUUAUACUGAAUUGAUUCAGAUUUUGGUUCUGUGGCCUGAAACUUGCUUGUUUCACCCUUCUUUUUUGAGAGUUUUUGUUGCUCUAAAACUAAGCCUGCACUAAUGUUCUUGAGAUGGAUCAACUGGGGAGCCCUGUCGUGCCUUACCAUUUUUUCAUCUUGGAGUCAAGCUGCAGGGCAGGAUUCUUAUACUGCCCAAAUGAUUGGAGGCUCAUUUCCCUUCAUUGUCCAUUUCUUUGACAGGCUGUGAAACAUAACUAACUCCAAAGCCACCUAUCAAAGUUCAUGAAGGUUUUAGUCAGGAACUGGUGGUUUUGUUGUUGCAGAUACUUCAAUUAUUCAGACUGUGAAUUUGAGUCAUAGCCUACUAGGCAAGGCCCAUACUGAGAUACAAAGGAACAGAGCUUUCUAAAUUAGAAGUGAGCAGCAUUCCUGAAGUGAUAGAUAAGGUCCUUGUACUACAUUCAUUCAGCAGAUAUUGAUUGUGUGCCCAUGAAUCAGGCAUAUGUGCAGGGUGUUAAUACAAAAGAAACUGGUUUUUGAGGCCCCUGCCCUCAAGAAGUUCACAGUCUAGUGAGGUUGGCAGGCAUGCAGAUGAUAACAUAAUGGAGGCAUGCAAGAAAUGCUGUGGAAAAUUAAGACAGCACAGUCUGCCUGAGGAGACUGUUCAACGUUUUAUAGAGGAGGAUGUGCUCGUGUUGGAACUUGAAGGAUGAGUAGUGGUGAAGGCAAAGGCUACUGUGGCUACAGUCUAGUGUACAAUGAUGGAGAUGAGGUGGUCAGAACACGAGGGUUCUUGUACGUCAAAGUAUGUUAGUUUUACACCAUACAUUUAUUAUUAUGAAUUCAGCUGUGAGGAACAGAAAUCUGCAAUUCAACUGGCUUAAACACUGAGGAAAAUUUAUUAGCGCAUAUAAUAUGUUCAAAGGCAGUUCCAGGAUAACUGAAUUCAGUGGCUCGACUCUAUCAUUAAGGACUUAGGUUCUUUCCAUUUUUUUUGCUCUGCCAUCCUUGGUAUGAUGAUUUGCUCUCAGACUUGCUCUUCUCCUGAUCACAAGGUGACCAAAGAGGAAGAGAGAUUUGUUUCUUUGUUUUUGAGGUUUGUUGGUUUUGUUUUGUCUUGAUUUGUGUCUUUUCAAUCAGUAAGGAAAAUCUUUCCUAAGGAGCUCUCCUGCCACUCCCAUCAGACUCAUCCCCAUGCCUCAGUGGCUAAAAGUGCAUCACGUGCCCAAUCCUAAACCAUUCACUGGCAAGGGGAAUGCAACCACCAUUACUGGCUCAGACCAAUCUUGAUUCACUCCCUGGAGGAACUGUCCCACUUCUUCUGGAUUAUAUGGCCCAGGUAGAGGAUACUGGAACAAAAUUGGGUUUCCGAUAGAAAGUAGGAGAAAGGGAGACAACUGAUUCCUGAGUUGGCAACCAACAGCAUUUGCUAUGGUAGAUGAUGGGAAACCAGUGUAGGUAAUUGAGCAGGAGUGGCAUGAUCAGUUAUGUUUAAAAAAAGUCCUAUCAGAAAUGUAGAGUUGAGCUUAAUAGAUAGAAAAAUUGAGAACACAUGGAAGUCUUGUGAGCAGCCAAGGAACUGAUCAACACACAUGUGGAACUGGAGCGAAAACUUUUCUGGAGUCAUGCUUCUGUAGUGGUAGGAGGGGGUAUUUAGGGGUAGAAAGGCAACUAAUGCAGAAUAGAGAUUUACCAAGAAGUUCCUUAUGGUACUGUGGCAACCAUGCAACUUUUUAAAAAAAGUUCAGAUGAUAAUGUGGUCCACUCAGAGGAGCCAUUUUGGUGAAAGAAUGCUAGCAUUUUGGAACUGGUAGUGAUCUUGAUGUCAUCUAGUUCAAGAUCUUUAUUUUACAAGUUACAGAACUGGGACACAGACAAGCAAAGUGAUUUGUUAAGUUCCUAUUUGUGGUUCAUGGCUGAACUAGAACCGUGCCCGUAGAUUUUCUGACUUUCAGCCCAGGGCACUUUGUAAUGGGUUCUCAGGGCCCUUUCUCAUGGGGUUUAACAUGUCCAUUCGAGAGUGCUGUAGAAGCUCCACAGGCCCUCUUCCUAUGUUUCUCUUAUCCUUGACAACAAUUCUAUUGUUGGAAUUUUGUUGUUGUUGUUUAAAUAUGGUUUUGGUUUCUAUAAAAAUGCAAAUAAUACUGAUAAGUGUAAUGUUUUAAGCUCUUAUCAUUCAUUUGGAUCUUAAAGUGAAUGUGUCCUUCUUGUUUUUUCUUUGAAGCAGAUUUUAAUGGGGGAUGGGAAUAAGAAAUUCAGGGUACUGGAAACAUAAAAGGAAAAAGGAGGCCCUAAGAAGAAUCCCUAAGACGAGAAGCUGGAGGCCGAGGGUUCAUUACUUUGUUGAGGGUGUUUCUUAUGACACCAAAUAAGACCCAUGGUGCCUGAGAUACUAAUGAGAGGCAAUUGCCACCCUAGUGUGAGGUGGGGCCUCUGGCCCACUUUUCUUGACAAUCUAAACAUCCAUUCACAAUGACCCAACUAUACUUCUUCACUCUUUCCUUUGGUCUUCAAUGUGCCUAUGCCUAUCCUUCCCAGAACAUAUACAGUUUUGGCUAAAAUUGCUAUGCAGAAACUUUUGGAAAUUCACCCUGGUAGACAGAGCAUGACAGCAGGCAUUAAAAAAAAAAUGUUCAGUAAAAACAAGAAAAUGAUUUGAGAAUCAAGCUCUUACUGACAAGGAAUCUUAGCAUUUUGGAGCUGGAAGUGACCCUGAAUUCAUCUGGCUCAAGACCUUUAUUUUACAAAUGAGAAAACUGGGACCCAGACAAACAAAGUGAGUUGUUAAGUUCCUCCUAUGUGUGGUCCAUGGCUGAACUAGAACCAUACCCACAGAUUUUUUUCCCUUCAGCACAGGACUCUUUGUAAUGAGUUCUCACCAAGCUUAAGUAAAGAUUGAUCUGUAAAAUCAAUUUAUUUCAACUUUACUUUUGAAAAUAUUCCGAAGUAUUAAUAUAUUAGUUUAUUUUUUUGGUAGUAUGCCAAACAUUAUAAAACUGCUAGUUUUAGAUGUAGACAGUGGAUAAAGACUGAGCUAAAUCUGUAUAGAUUGUGGCCUUUUGGGGCAUUUGGUAAAAGAUAAUCCUAUUUCUGUAAAACAAAUACUGAAAAGAGGAAAAAAAAAGCGCAUAUGUAUGUGUAUGUCCAUCUAAGAUUGUUUAAGCCUGGAAAAACAUGGAAGGAUAUAUAUGAAGUUGUUAUCACGGGUUUGCCUGACAGUGCUGAUGCGGGUAGAAGAGGAGGGUUGGGAGAAGCUGUACAAAUGUAUGAGAAAGGGACUAAAAAGGGAUGUCGAUGAUGAUAUUCAUAUAAAUUUAUUUCUAGGUGUGGCUGUAUAUUGAAAAAAUGAGUAAAAUACUUUAAAAAGUGAUCUGGAAAAUGAGAAAACAAAAAUGAGUGUAAUUCUCAUGUGCAUUUAAAAUUAUAACGUGUCAAAUGUUUGUCUAAAUUGGAUGAUCACUAAGAAUAAAAUUAAAUUGGAAAUUUUAAUUAAAGGUGCUAAAUUAAAGGUGCCAAUAUGUAGCUGGACAUACUCUUCUAUUUUCAUUUACAUUUUGUUUUACUUUCAUCUGCUUGCUAUGUAGUUUUUCAUCUCAUGCAUUUUUUUGAUACUUUAUGUCAGUGGUGGCUGAAUUGUAUUUGAAAAAUAUGAAAAACAUGUAUAAUUACAUAGACACAAUUAAAGCUAAGCUUAUUUCAAAA
RNAcentral lists this long non-coding RNA (9455 nucleotides) under Pongo abelii (Sumatran orangutan). RNAcentral's name for it is "lincRNA". The record is from RNAcentral. Lineage: Eukaryota; Metazoa; Chordata; Mammalia; Primates; Hominidae.